GUACUCACUUCGGCAGCCCAUACACUAAAAUUGGAACGAUACAGAGAAGAUUAGGAUGGCCCCUGCGCAAGGAUGACAUGCAAAUUUAUGAAGCAUUCCAUAUUUUU
This 107-nucleotide small nuclear RNA is filed under the name Heterocephalus glaber (naked mole-rat). Lineage: Eukaryota; Metazoa; Chordata; Mammalia; Rodentia; Bathyergidae. The record is from RNAcentral.